AGAGUUUGAUCAUGGCUCAGGACGAACGCUGGCGGCGUGCUUAACACAUGCAAGUCGAGCGGAAAGGCCCUUCGGGGUACUCGAGCGGCGAACGGGUGAGUAACACGUGAGCAACCUGCCCCUGACUCUGGGAUAAGCCUGGGAAACCGGGUCUAAUACCGGAUACGACCGCCUCCGGCAUCGGAUGGUGGUGGAAAGAAUUUUGGUCGGGGAUGGGCUCGCGGCCUAUCAGCUUGUUGGUGGGGUAGUGGCCUACCAAGGCGACGACGGGUAGCCGGCCUGAGAGGGCGACCGGCCACACUGGGACUGAGACACGGCCCAGACUCCUACGGGAGGCAGCAGUGGGGAAUAUUGCGCAAUGGGCGGAAGCCUGACGCAGCGACGCCGCGUGGGGGAUGACGGCCUUCGGGUUGUAAAGCUCUUUCGGCGGGGACGAUAAUGACGGUACCCGCAGAAGAAGCCCCGGCUAACUUCGUGCUAGCCGCCGCGGUAAUAC
RNAcentral lists this ribosomal RNA (496 nucleotides) under uncultured bacterium. RNAcentral's name for it is "bacterial SSU rRNA". It matches the Rfam family "Bacterial small subunit ribosomal RNA", at positions 8 to 526 of the family's 1533-position model. The record is from RNAcentral.